This 73-nucleotide transfer RNA is filed under the name Cricetulus griseus (Chinese hamster). It matches the Rfam family "tRNA". Rfam says of the family: Transfer RNA (tRNA) molecules are approximately 80 nucleotides in length. Their secondary structure includes four short double-helical elements and three loops (D, anti-codon, and T loops). The record is from Rfam by way of RNAcentral. Lineage: Eukaryota; Metazoa; Chordata; Mammalia; Rodentia; Cricetidae.
GGAGAUAUGGCUCAGAGGUUAAGAGCACUGACUGUUCUUCCAGAGGACCUGGGUUCAAUUCCCAGCAACCACA